This 227-nucleotide unclassified non-coding RNA is filed under the name plant metagenome. RNAcentral's name for it is "partial contains small subunit ribosomal RNA, internal transcribed spacer 1, and 5.8S ribosomal RNA". The record is from RNAcentral.
UUUCCGUAGGUGAACCUGCGGAAGGAUCAUUAAAGAAUUUGCCCCGUCCUCUCGAGGAUGGGUCCUCUUCUAAACCGUGUAUACAUACCUUUGUUGCUUUGGCGGGCCGCCGUCUCGGCGUUGGCUUCGGCUGACUGUGCCCGCCAGAGAACCCCAACUCUUCUGUUUAGUAUUGUCUGAGUACUACAUAAUAGUUAAAACUUUCAACAACGGAUCUCUUGGUUCUG